RNAcentral lists this small RNA (6617 nucleotides) under Pongo abelii (Sumatran orangutan). RNAcentral's name for it is "retained intron". The record is from RNAcentral. Lineage: Eukaryota; Metazoa; Chordata; Mammalia; Primates; Hominidae.
UACCAACCCGCAGGCUGCAGGGUUGGCAUGCUCCGUGCAAGACCAGAGGCACUGAUGCUCCUGGGAGCUCUUCUGACUGGAUCCCUGGAUCCAUCGGGCAAUCAGGACGCACUCUCACUGCCCUGGGAAGUGCAGCGCUAUGACGGCUGGUUUAACAACCUGAGGCACCACGAGCGUGGUGCUGUUGGCUGCCGGUUGCAGCGCCGCGUACCAGCCAAUUAUGCCGACGGUGUGUAUCAGGCUCUGGAGGAGCCGCAGCUGCCCAACCCGCGCCGGCUCAGCAACGCAGCCACGCGGGGCAUAGCCGGCCUGCCGUCGCUCCACAACCGCACCGUACUGGGGGUCUUCUUUGGCUACCAUGUUCUUUCCGACGUGGUGAGCGUGGAAACGCCCGGCUGCCCCGCCGAGUUCCUCAACAUCCGCAUCCCACCUGGAGACCCCGUGUUCGACCCCGACCAGCGCGGGGACGUGGUGCUGCCCUUCCAGAGGAGCCGCUGGGACCCCGAGACCGGACGGAGUCCCAGCAACCCCCGGGACCUGGUGAGGCGGGGAAGGCGGCGGGAAGGGGCCGCACACCAGCCAGGUGGGGCCGGGGCUUCGGGCCUGGCAGGGCCUGGAGGGGAGAGGCGCCCACUCCCCAGCCUCGGACACCUGCCGGCCUCCGGCCUUCCCUGGCCCGCCGCCGCCCUUCGACCCCGGCUCACCCGCCGCGUGCCCCGCAGGCCAACCAGGUGACGGGCUGGCUGGACGGCAGCGCCAUCUAUGGCUCCUCGCACUCCUGGAGCGACGCGCUGCGGAGCUUCUCCGGGGGACAGCUGGCGUCGGGGCCCGACCCCGCCUUCCCCCGAGACUCGCAGAACCCUCUGCUCAUGUGGGCGGCGCCCGACCCCGCCACCGGGCAGAACGGGCCCCGGGGGCUGUACGGUGAGGCCGCGGGGGCGGGACGGGGCCGGCUGGGGGUCUGCGAGUGUGGGCUCCCCCAUCACGCUACCGCUCAUCUCCUCCCCUGCGCCCCCACAUCGGAUGCAGCCUUCGGGGCGGAGCGAGGGAACCGGGAACCCUUCCUGCAGGCGCUGGGCCUGCUCUGGUUCCGCUACCACAACCUGUGGGCGCAGAGGCUGGCCCGCCAGCACCCAGACUGGGGGGACGAGGAGCUGUUCCAGCACGCGCGCAAGAGGGUCAUCGCCACCUACCAGAACAUCGCUGUGUAUGAGUGGCUGCCCAGCUUCCUGCAGAAAACACCCCCGGAGUAUACAGGAUACCGUCCUUUCCUAGACCCUAGCAUCUCCCCGGAAUUUGUGGUGGCCUCUGAGCAGUUCUUCUCUACCAUGGUGCCCCCUGGUGUCUACAUGAGAAAUGCCAGCUGUCAUUUCCGGAAGGUCCUGAACAAGGGUUUUCAAAGCUCCCAAGCUCUCAGGGUCUGCAACAACUACUGGAUUCGGGAGGUCAGACUGGGGUCAGGGCCAGGGGAAGAUGGGUCAAGGUCAGUCUCUUCACACAGGCUGGGAAAAGCAACAAUCCUAGUUCUUGGGUUUUGCUGCCCCAGGUUCAUGGGAGAUGAAGGGUAGAGGAAAUUAUCCAGGGACAACAGCUCAAGAGAGUCUGGGACUGGCCAAGGGCCCUUUGUCCUGGGGUACUAAAGUGGUCCAGGCUGAGAGAGACUGAGUUUUGGGUAGGGGCCUAUCUUGAGUGCAUUGUUUACUUCCAGAACCCCAAUCUGAACAGUACCCAGGAGGUGAAUGAGCUGCUACUGGGAAUGGCCUCCCAGAUUUCGGAGCUGGAGGACAACAUAGUGGUUGAAGAUCUGAGGGGUGAGCUCAGAGCCAGAAGGGGUGGAUGGUAAGGGGCCAGGAAGCCUGAGGAUCCCUCUGGGUUCAUCAACAGCAGACCUAGGGCACUCACAAUACAGCAACACAGAUACAAACACAGACUUCAAGGAGCUAUAAGAAGAAAAUGAACUGUGAACUUUUUUUUUUUUUUUUUGCUUAAUUUACACUUUUGUGUUGCUUUUAUUUUAAAUUAACUAUGUCUGAGUAUUGGGGAGGGGUGGUACCACAAUCUCUUUGGUGCUUAGUUAGGUCUCUAAAAGUUUUCAUUCAGCCCUGUCUUGAAACUAGGGAGGCAUAGGACAGGGAAUUUACUGCUUGGUGACUAGAACAGUCUUGAGUCUUAGAGGAAGGGUCUUACUGGAAAAACUGGCCGUGAUCACACAUGGUGACAUUGGCCUUGCAGCAAGGCAAGGUCAACAUGGGCACAGAUCUCAUGUGGAUCACUGGGGGUAGCUGGGAGGGAAGAACCAUAGUGCCAAUAGUCAGAUACAAGGCUGCAGGGCAAAAAAGGAUGGAGAGGACAAAGCCCAUAGUCUAGUCUUCUCUCCUCUUCAGAUUACUGGCCUGGCCCUGGCAAAUUCUCCCGUACAGACUAUGUGGCCAGCAGCAUCCAACGUGGCCGAGAUAUGGGGCUGCCCAGCUAUAGCCAGGCCCUUCUGGCCUUUGGGCUGGACAUCCCAAGGAACUGGAGUGAUCUCAACCCUAAUGUGGACCCCCAGGUCAGGAAUAGUAAUGAUAAUAAUGGCAGCUAAAGCUUUCCUAUGGCAAUACUGUUCCAAACCCUUUACAUAUGUUGACUCAUUUAAUCUACGUAAUAAUAUUGUAAGGUAUAUAUAAUCAUUUUCUCCAUUUUACUGAUGACAUAGUUGGUAAAUCAUAGAGGCGGGACUUAAAUUCAGCCAUCUGAUUCCAGAAUAUAUUCCUAACCACUGCAUUGUACCAUUCCUGCAGGGUGGCUUCUGGGUUGGGUGCCAUUGUCCUGUUGCUGCAGGGUCCCACCCCAAGGGCUGUGUGCCCCUGAAGCUGCUAAUCAUUGAGGUCAGGCAGGCUGGUGAUGGUCACAGGAUACGGUCCUAGAGCACUUGACCGUGGUCUUACGGUGGGUAAGGACACACUGAUCCUUCCACUAGACUUGUCCUGCCUGACGGGGCUUCCCUAAGAAGAGGAAAUCAGGCCUGAGCAGCAAGCCAGGCAGCUGCUGGGGUCCUGUGUCCGAGGGAUGGGGCAACAGUGGCUGCCCUCCCCAGCAAACAUACACUCACCCCUUAUCUCCUGUGGUGCCCCAGGUGCUGGAGGCCACAGCUGCCCUGUACAACCAGGACCUAUCCCAGCUAGAGCUGCUCCUUGGGGGGCUCCUAGAGAGCCAUGGGGACCCUGGACCCCUGUUCAGUGCCAUUGUCCUCGACCAGUUUGUACGGCUGCGGGAUGGUGACCGCUACUGGUUUGAGAACACCAGGAAUGGGCUGUUCUCCAAGAAGGAGAUUGAAGAAAUCCGAAAUACCACCCUGCGGGACGUGCUGGUCGCUGUUAUCAAUGUUGACCCCAGUGCCCUGCAGCCCAAUGUCUUUGUCUGGCAUAAAGGUGCACCCUGCCCUCAGCCUAAGCAGCUCACAACCGACGGCCUGCCCCAGUGCGCACCCCUGACCGUGCUUGACUUCUUUGAGGGCAGCAGCCCUGGUUUUGCCAUCACCAUCAUUGCUCUCUGCUGCCUUCCCUUAGUGAGUCUGCUUCUCUCUGGAGUGGUGGCCUAUUUCCGGGGCCGAGAACGCAAGAAGCUACAAAAGAAAGUCAAAGAGAGCGUGAAGAAGGAAACAGCCAAAGAUGGAGUGCCAGCGAUGGAGUGGCCAGGCCCCAAGGAGAGGAGCAGUCCCAUCAUCAUCCAGCUGCUGUCAGACAGGUGUCUGCAGGUCCUGAACAGGCGUCUCACUGUGCUCCGCGUGGUCCAGCUGCAGCCUCUGCAGCAGGUCAACCUCAUCCUGUCCAGCAACCGAGGAUGCCGCACCCUGCUGCUCAAGGUCCCUAAGGAGUAUGACCUGGUGCUGCUGUUUAGUUCUGAAGAGGAACGGGGCGCCUUUGUGCAGCAGCUACAGGACUUCUGUGUGCGCUGGGCUCUGGGCCUCCAUGUGGCUGAGAUGAGCGAGAAGGAGCUAUUUAGGAAGGCUGUGACAAAGCAGCAGCGGGAACGCAUCCUGGAGAUCUUCUUCAGACACCUUUUUGCUCAGGUGCUGGACAUCAACCAGGCCGAUGCAGGGACCCUGCCCCUGGACUCCUGCCAGAAGGUGCGGGAGGCCCUGACCUGCGAGCUGAGCAGGGCCGAGUUUGCCGAGUCCCUGGGCCUCAAGCCCCAGGACAUGUUUGUGGAGUCCAUGUUCUCUCUGGCUGACAAGGAUGGCAAUGGCUACCUGUCCUUCCGAGAGUUCCUGGACAUCCUGGUGGUCUUCAUGAAAGGCUCCCCAGAGGAUAAGUCCCGUCUGAUGUUUACCAUGUAUGACCUGGAUGAGAAUGGCUUCCUCUCCAAGGACGAAUUCUUCACCAUGAUGCGGUCCUUCAUCGAGAUCUCCAACAACUGCCUGUCCAAGGCCCAGCUGGCCGAGGUGGUGGAGUCCAUGUUCCGGGAGUCGGGAUUCCAGGACAAGGAGGAACUGACAUGGGAGGAUUUUCACUUCAUGCUGCGGGACCAUGACAGCGAGCUCCGCUUCACGCAGCUCUGUGUCAAAGAUGGAGGUGGAGGUGGUGAGUGUGUGAGGAAUGGUUGGCGUCAGGGAGGGGGGCGUGUCCUCAAAAUGAGAGUUCCCGGUGGGCAGGACCCAGGUCUUACUCUUUUCUGAGUCCUUGGUAUCUAGUAUAGAACCAAGCACAUGUAAUUGGGGUGGCACAUGUAGGUGUGCAGGUUGUCUAAUGCACAAUGAUACCCACUGAGGUCAAGGAGCAGGUUGAAAUCUAUCCUACAUACUGCUCAAAGCCACCGGCAUUGGUCUAAGACAUAGCUGGCCAGAGGAAGAGGAAUUGUUUCUUUUACACAAAGGACCUGCACGGUUGCAUCCACCUAAGAGGAUGUCCCCUUUCUUGUGCAAAGUUGCCACAUUGUCUGCCCUGUGUACAGUGAGUGCUUAGUCUGGGGAAGGAGGGAAACCGGACUGGAGUCAGAGAUCUGGACAUGACUUUCCCAGAAGGGAGGAGGGCACAGUCUCCCAUCCUACCCCACUGCCCUUGUGGGGAAGCCAGUCCUGCCUCUUGUUCUCUUCUCUAGGUAUUAGAGAUAUCUUUAAACAAAACAUCAGCUGUCGAGUCUCAUUCAUCAGUCGGACACCUGGGGAGUGGUGAGCAGGAAUGGGGCUCUGGCAGGUCGGCCUGGCUGAGCCCCCUGCAGAGAAAUGAAAGGAGUAGGACUGGCUGAUCAGCCCCCGGUAAAAUCAGGCAUUUGCCCUUUGAAAGUAGCUCUUGGUUGCACAAACAUUCCAGCUGCCUCUCUCACCCUAUGCUGCUCGGAUGCUCGGCUCUCUCCCUGCCGCUCCAGGCCAGAAUCAUUCUACAAAACAAAUUAUGAGAUCCUAUUCAUUUUGCGCCUUACCCCCUGCCUGGUACCAGGAGCCACUCCCUACCUCUACCCCAUGCUCUGCCCUGGGAGUUGUUCUCCUGGCUGCAAAGACAAGGGGAGAACAGCCCCAUUUCUUUUUCUCAGCUCCCACCCCCAGGGACUGGGGCCCCCUGCCCCAGAAGCCCCAGAGCUGGGAGGCCCUGGACUGAAGAAGAGGUUUGGCAAAAAGGCAGCGGUGCUCACUCCCCGGCUGUACACAGAGGCGCUGCAAGAGAAGAUGCAGCGAGGCUUCCUAGCCCAAAAGCUGCAGCAGUACAAGCGCUUCGUGGAGAACUACCGGAGGCACAUCGUGUGUGUUGCAAUCUUCUCGGCCAUCUGUGUUGGCGUGUUUGCAGAUCGUGCUUACUGUAAGAGUUCCAGACUGUGGGCAGUGGGUAGGGAGCAGGCUCUGACCCUUGGAGAGGAGUGGAAAGCCCUCUGAUCCUAAGAGUCUGCAUGGGAGAGCCCAGGGCUCGGGACCCUGGCCUCUUGUGCCAAACUGAUGUAACCUCAUUCCGGCCCCCCAGACUAUGGCUUUGCCUCGCCACCCUCGGACAUUGCACAGACCACCCUCGUGGGCAUCAUCCUGUCACGAGGCACGGCGGCCAGCGUCUCCUUCAUGUUCUCCUAUAUCCUGCUCACCAUGUGCCGCAACCUCAUAACCUUCCUGCGAGAGACUUUCCUCAACCGCUAUGUGCCUUUUGAUGCCGCGGUGGACUUCCACCGCUGGAUCGCCAUGGCUGCUGUUGUCCUGGCCAUUUUGCACAGUGCUGGCCAUGCAGUCAAUGUCUACAUCUUCUCAGUCAGCCCACUCAGCCUGCUGGCCUGCGUAUUCCCCAACGUCUUUGUGAAUGAUGGGUCAGUUCUGGGGAAGGUUUUCUCCCGGGACUCAUAGGGCGGGCCCAGGGGUAUAAUAGAAAAAGAAAUAGGCAGGGCACAAUGGCUCACACCUGUAAGCCCAACACUUUGGAAGUCUGAGGCAGGAGGAUCGCUUGAAGCCAGGAGUUCCAGACAAGCCUGAACAACAGAGUGAGACUCCAUCUGUACAAAAAGUAAAAAGAUUAGCGGGGCAUUGUGGUGCACAUCUGUAGUCCUGGCUAUUCAGGAGGCUGAGGCAGGAGGAUUGCUUGAGCCCAGGAGUUUGAGGUUGCAGUGAGCCAUGAUCAGUACCACUGCAUUCCAGCCUGGGCGACAGAGCAAGACUCUGUCUU